GUUUGUGUAGCUGUAAGAACUAGAGAUAUCCAUAAUCAUAUAUGCUACUAUGGGAGACUCAAACCUCCCGGCAUAAUCAAGGUAACUUAGCACCAAUGUAUACAAUAUGAGGGACUUUAACCUCCUAAUCAUAUAUUUAUUUGGGGUACUUAAACCUCCCGGUCAUAUAGACACUCGCACCAACUAGUACGGUUUCCAGUAUUUGUCCUUCGUACUCCAUUUUCACAGAAC
RNAcentral lists this long non-coding RNA (231 nucleotides) under Capsicum annuum. RNAcentral describes it as "long non-coding RNA (CANN_LNC015812)". Lineage: Eukaryota; Viridiplantae; Streptophyta; Magnoliopsida; Solanales; Solanaceae. The record is from RNAcentral.